GACGAACGCUGGCGGCGUGCUUAACACAUGCAAGUCGAACGGAAAGGCCCUGCUUUUGUGGGUGCUCGAGUGGCGAACGGGUGAGUAACACGUGAGUAACCUGCCCUUGACUUUGGGAUAACUUCAGGAAACUGGGGCUAAUACCGGAUAGGAGCUCCUGCUGCAUGGUGGGGGUUGGAAAGUUUCGGCGGUUGGGGAUGGACUCGCGGCUUAUCAGCUUGUUGGUGGGGUAGUGGCUUACCAAGGCUUUGACGGGUAGCCGGCCUGAGAGGGCGACCGGCCACAUUGGGACUGAGAUACGGCCCAGACUCCUACGGGAGGCAGCAGUGGGGAAUAUUGCACAAUGGGCGGAAGCCUGAUGCAGCAACGCCGCGUGCGGGAUGACGGCCUUCGGGUUGUAAACCGCUUUCGCCUGUGACGAAGCGUGAGUGACGGUAAUGGGUAAAGAAGCACCAGCUAACUACGUG
This 467-nucleotide ribosomal RNA is filed under the name uncultured bacterium. RNAcentral describes it as "partial 16S ribosomal RNA". It matches the Rfam family "Bacterial small subunit ribosomal RNA", at positions 28 to 507 of the family's 1533-position model. The record is from RNAcentral.